Molecule: ribosomal RNA, 590 nt
Filed under: uncultured bacterium
Lineage: Bacteria
Description: partial 16S ribosomal RNA
Rfam family: Bacterial small subunit ribosomal RNA
Source: RNAcentral
UGGGGAAUUUUGGACAAUGGGCGAAAGCCUGAUCCAGCAAUGCCGCGUGUGUGAAGAAGGCCUUCGGGUUGUGAAGCACUUUUGUCCGGAAAGAAAUCCUUGGCUCUAAUACAGUCGGGGGAUGACGGUACCGGAAGAAUAAGCACCGGCUAACUACGUGCCAGCAGCCGCGGUAAUACGUAGGGUGCAAGCGUUAAUCGGAAUUACUGGGCGUAAAGCGUGCGCAGGCGGUUUGCUAAGACCGAUGUGAAAUCCCCGGGCUCAACCUGGGAACUGCAUUGGUGACUGGCAGGCUAGAGUAUGGCAGAGGGGGGUAGAAUUCCACGUGUAGCAGUGAAAUGCGUAGAGAUGUGGAGGAAUACCGAUGGCGAAGGCAGCCCCCUGGGCCAAUACUGACGCUCAUGCACGAAAAGCGUGGGGGAGCAAAACAGGAUUAGAUACCCCUGGUAGUCCACGCCCUAAAACGAUGUCAACUAGUUGUUGGGGAUUCAUUUCCUUAGUAACGUAGCUAACGCGUGAAGUUGACCGCCUGGGGAGUACGGUCGCAAGAUUAAAACUCAAAUGAAUUGACGGGGUCAUAGCUGUUUCCU